RNAcentral lists this ribosomal RNA (2400 nucleotides) under Triticum aestivum (bread wheat). RNAcentral describes it as "partial small subunit ribosomal RNA". The record is from RNAcentral. Lineage: Eukaryota; Viridiplantae; Streptophyta; Magnoliopsida; Poales; Poaceae.
AUGGCUUCAAUCGGUUGGGUGCUACUACUCUUACUUGCAGUGCUUCCCGCACUAGCCACCUCCGGCUCCGACGAUGACGGUAACUUCACUCUCCGAUGCCAUCCAGACCAGGCUGCAACUCUCCUCCAGCUAAAGAAAUCCUUCUUAUUUUUCCGUUACCCCAAUGCCCUUCAGUCAUGGCAGGAUGGUACUGACUGUUGUCUUUGGGAAGGUGUCAGGUGCAGCAAUUCCUCGGGCCAUGUGACUGCUUUGGAGCUUGGUGGGUGUGGCUUCUAUAGUCAGGGCCUUGACCCUGCAAUCUUCAAGCUCACCUCACUCCAACAACUUGACCUUAGCAUGAACAAUUUUGGCCCGUACAAUCUCCCGACAAAUGGGUUUGAGAGGCUCACCUCGCUCACCCACCUCAACCUCUCCUAUUCAGUCUUCCGUGGCCAGAUACCUACUGGUAUCGGCAAACUUGCCAACCUUAUCUCCUUGGAUCUUUCUACUACUACUGAUGAUUCUGCUGUUUAUGGCUAUGAUGCCAACGCCCUUGAUGUUAUUAGUCUGCCCAGGCUGGAGGAACCGAACUUUGAGAUCUUAGUGGCCAACCUCAGCAGUCUGAGAGAGCUCUACCUUGAAGAUGAAGUGGAUAUGUCUAGCAGCAGAGACUGGUGCCAUGCUCUUGCUAAAUCUCUUCCCCAUCUCCGAGUUCUUAGCUUGAGGGAAUGUCGACUCGGGGGUCCUAUCUGUCCAUCUCUCUCAACCCUCCAUUCCCUAAAUGUGAUUAACCUUCAAGACAACUUCAAUAUGCCCGCUGCUCCUUUUCCAGAGUUUUUCAUGGAUUUUCUCAAUUUAAGUGUGCUCCAACUUGGUUGGACAAAUAUCCAAGGGUGGUUCCCUCGUAGAACAUUCAAAUCAAAAACUCUACGAGUUCUUGACUUAUCCUGGAACCACAAUCUCUCAGGGCACAUGCCCAACUUCUCCAACGCAAGUUCUUUAGAGACAAUGAUGCUAGAUGGGACCAAUUUCUCCUUUGGAAAAACAGGUUCUUUUAGCAAUUUCAAGUCUUUGCAAACGUUAAGCAUUGAUGUGAAUUUGGCUUUUAUGGAGCAUCAAUCUUCACCCGGUAUUCACAUGUCUUUACGACAUCUGGAACUCACCCUGACGGACUCGACAAAAGAUUUGGGGCUAAUUUUGUCAUCGAUCGGAGACCUGCAGAACUUGGCAAGCCUAGAACUCUCAGGAUGGAACUUCUCUUGGACAUCCUUCUCUUCAGUUGCCAAACUCAAGAACUUGAAAAGCCUGUCAAUCAUUGACUGCUACUUCACUAAGCCAUCACUAUCGGCAAUUGGCAACCUCACAAACUUGGAUAGCUUGGAAAUCUUUGCUUAUGAUUUCUUAUGGCCAAUACCGUCUGCAAUUGGUAAUCUCAGAAGCUUGAAAAGCUUGGAAUUUGUUAAUCCUUAUGGUUUCUUAGGGCCAAUACCAUCUGCAAUUGGCAAUCUCAGAAGCUUGAAAAGCUUGGAAAUUAAUGCUCAUGGUUUAUUAGGGCCGGUACCAUCUUCAAUUGGCAAUCUUAGUAGCUUGAUAAGGUUGGAAAUUUCUGCUUCUGAGUUUUCUGGGCCAAUGCCAGCUGCAAUAUGCAAUCUUAGUAAUUUGGAGACUUUGGAGAUUCACAGUUCUGGGUUUUCUGGGCCAAUACCCUAUGCAGUUGGACUACUCAAGAAAUUGACAUCACUACGGCUUCGAGAGUGUAGCUUUUCUGGGAGCAUACCAAAUUCAGUAUUUAAUUUGACGCACCUAAUUGAGUUAGAUCUUUCAUUUAAUCUUCUCAGUGGGGAAAUUCCAACAUAUGUUUUCACUAUUCCGACAUUGCAACACUUAGAUAUCCGUUUCAACCAGCUCUCUGGCUCUGUACAAGACUUUGAUGCGACAUCUUCGCACUUGGUGUCAGUGGACCUAAGCACAAAUAACUUGACAGGAAAUAUUCCCAAGUCGUUCUUUCAACUCAGAAGUUUGGCCUAUCUCGAUAUUGGCUGGAAUAACUUGUUUGGUUCGGUGGAUCUUUCUUCAUUUUGGAGGUUAGGGAGUCUCACUCAUUUGGGUCUUUCCCACAACAAUCUAUCAGUCGUGGAAUUGGAUGGAGAAGAUAACAACUCUCCAUCUACCUAUCUCCCUCGAAUUACCAUGUUAGGAUUAGCAAGCUGCAAUUUAAUGAGAUUCCCACGUUCAUUGGCACACCUUAACCAAAUGUCUUACUUGGAUUUGUCAUCCAAUAGAAUCAGUGGGGCCAUUCCAAAGUGGAUGUGGGUGACAUGGAACAGUAGCCUUACAUAUUUGAAUCUUUCACACAACCUUCUCAGCAUUAUGCAACUUACAUCAUAUGUUCUCCCUUUCGAUUCGGUUGGAAAUUCUUGA